AACGAACGCUGGCGGCGCGCUUAACACAUGCAAGUCGAACGAGAAGGCGUAGCAAUACGCUGGUACAGUGGCGAACGGGUGAGGAAUACAUGGGUAACCUACCCUCGAGUGGGGGAUAACCCGCCGAAAGGCGGGCUAAUACCGCGUACGCUUCCGAUCUUGCGGGAUCGGAAGGAAAGCUGUCCCAAGGGGAUGGCGCUCAAGGAUGGGCUCAUGUCCUAUCAGCUUGUUGGAGGGUAACGGCCUACCAAGGCAUCGACGGGUAGCUGGUCUGAGAGGACGAUCAGCCACACUGGCACUGCGAC
RNAcentral lists this ribosomal RNA (305 nucleotides) under uncultured bacterium. RNAcentral describes it as "bacterial SSU rRNA". It matches the Rfam family "Bacterial small subunit ribosomal RNA", at positions 29 to 325 of the family's 1533-position model. The record is from RNAcentral.